This 492-nucleotide ribosomal RNA is filed under the name uncultured bacterium. Its description in RNAcentral is "partial 16S ribosomal RNA". It matches the Rfam family "Bacterial small subunit ribosomal RNA", at positions 29 to 507 of the family's 1533-position model. The record is from RNAcentral.
AGUGAACGCUGGCGGUAGGCCUAACACAUGCAAGUCGAACGGCAGCACAGUAAGAGCUUGCUCUUACGGGUGGCGAGUGGCGGACGGGUGAGGAAUACAUCGGAAUCUACUUAUUCGUGGGGGAUAACGUAGGGAAACUUACGCUAAUACCGCAUACGACCUACGGGUGAAAGCAGGGGAUCUUCGGACCUUGCGCGAUUGAAUGAGCCGAUGUCGGAUUAGCUAGUUGGCGGGGUAAAGGCCCACCAAGGCGACGAUCCGUAGCUGGUCUGAGAGGAUGAUCAGCCACACUGGAACUGAGACACGGCCCAGACUCCUACGGGAGGCAGCAGUGGGGAAUAUUGGACAAUGGGCGCAAGCCUGAUCCAGCCAUACCGCGUGGGUGAAGAAGGCCUUCGGGUUGUAAAGCCCUUUUGUUGGGAAAGAAAAGCAGCAGGUUAAUACCCCGCUGUUCUGACGGUACCCAAAGAAUAAGCACCGGCUAACUUCGUG